RNAcentral lists this ribosomal RNA (465 nucleotides) under uncultured Klebsiella sp. Its description in RNAcentral is "bacterial SSU rRNA". It matches the Rfam family "Bacterial small subunit ribosomal RNA", at positions 338 to 795 of the family's 1533-position model. Lineage: Bacteria; Pseudomonadati; Pseudomonadota; Gammaproteobacteria; Enterobacterales; Enterobacteriaceae. The record is from RNAcentral.
CCUACGGGGGGCUGCAGUGGGGAAUAUUGCACAAUGGGCGCAAGCCUGACGCAGCCAUGCCGCGUGUGUGAAGAAGGCCUUCGGGUUGUAAAGCACUUUCAGCGGGGAGGAAGGCGGUGAGGUUAAUAACCUCAUCGAUUGACGUUACCCGCAGAAGAAGCACCGGCUAACUCCGUGCCAGCAGCCGCGGUAAUACGGAGGGUGCAAGCGUUAAUCGGAAUUACUGGGCGUAAAGCGCACGCAGGCGGUCUGUCAAGUCGGAUGUGAAAUCCCCGGGCUCAACCUGGGAACUGCAUUCGAAACUGGCAGGCUAGAGUCUUGUAGAGGGGGGUAGAAUUCCAGGUGUAGCGGUGAAAUGCGUAGAGAUCUGGAGGAAUACCGGUGGCGAAGGCGGCCCCCUGGACAAAGACUGACGCUCAGGUGCGAAAGCGUGGGGAGCAAACAGGAUUAGAUACCCUUGUAGUC